RNAcentral lists this ribosomal RNA (465 nucleotides) under Vreelandella stevensii. Its description in RNAcentral is "partial 16S ribosomal RNA". It matches the Rfam family "Bacterial small subunit ribosomal RNA", at positions 338 to 795 of the family's 1533-position model. The record is from RNAcentral. Lineage: Bacteria; Pseudomonadati; Pseudomonadota; Gammaproteobacteria; Oceanospirillales; Halomonadaceae.
CCUACGGGAGGCAGCAGUGGGGAAUAUUGGACAAUGGGGGCAACCCUGAUCCAGCCAUGCCGCGUGUGUGAAGAAGGCCCUCGGGUUGUAAAGCACUUUCAGUGAGGAAGAACGCCUGGUGGUUAAUACCCAUCAGGAAAGACAUCAUUCACAGAAGAAGCACCGGCUAACUCCGUGCCAGCAGCCGCGGUAAUACGGAGGGUGCGAGCGUUAAUCGGAAUUACUGGGCGUAAAGCGCGCGUAGGUGGCUUGAUAAGCCGGUUGUGAAAGCCCCGGGCUCAACCUGGGAACGGCAUCCGGAACUGUCAAGCUAGAGUGCAGGAGAGGAAGGUAGAAUUCCCGGUGUAGCGGUGAAAUGCGUAGAGAUCGGGAGGAAUACCAGUGGCGAAGGCGGCCUUCUGGACUGACACUGACACUGAGGUGCGAAAGCGUGGGUAGCAAACAGGAUUAGAUACCCGGGUAGUC